UCCUACGGGGGGCAGCAGUGAGGAAUAUUGGUCAAUGGGCGCGAGCCUGAACCAGCCAAGUCGCGUGAGGGAAGACGGUCCUAUGGAUUGUAAACCUCUUUUGUCGGGGAGCAAAAGACGCCACGCGUGGCGUUCCGAGAGUACCCGAAGAAAAAGCAUCGGCUAACUCCGUGCCAGCAGCCGCGGUAACACGGAGGAUGCGAGCGUUAUCCGGAUUUAUUGGGUGUAAAGGGUGCGUAGACGGGAAAACAAGUUAGUUGUGAAAUCCCUCAGCUUAACUGAGGAACUGCAACUAAAACUAUUUU
Molecule: ribosomal RNA, 305 nt
Filed under: uncultured bacterium
Lineage: Bacteria
Description: bacterial SSU rRNA
Rfam family: Bacterial small subunit ribosomal RNA
Source: RNAcentral